This 64-nucleotide transfer RNA is filed under the name Cavia porcellus (domestic guinea pig). It matches the Rfam family "tRNA". From Rfam's summary of the family: Transfer RNA (tRNA) molecules are approximately 80 nucleotides in length. Their secondary structure includes four short double-helical elements and three loops (D, anti-codon, and T loops). Further hydrogen bonds mediate the characteristic L-shaped molecular structure. tRNAs have two regions of fundamental functional importance: the anti-codon, which is responsible for specific mRNA codon recognition, and the 3' end, to which the tRNAs corresponding amino acid is attached (by aminoacyl-tRNA synthetases). tRNAs cope with the degeneracy of the genetic code in two manners: having more than one tRNA (with a specific anti-codon) for a particular amino acid; and 'wobble' base-pairing, i.e. permitting non-standard base-pairing at the 3rd anti-codon position. Lineage: Eukaryota; Metazoa; Chordata; Mammalia; Rodentia; Caviidae. The record is from Rfam by way of RNAcentral.
GGGGAUUUAGCUCAGUGACACAAGCGCCUGCCUUGCAAGCAGGCAGUCGUGAGUUCAAUCCCCG